Molecule: ribosomal RNA, 625 nt
Filed under: uncultured Pseudomonadota bacterium
Lineage: Bacteria; Pseudomonadati; Pseudomonadota
Description: bacterial SSU rRNA
Rfam family: Bacterial small subunit ribosomal RNA
Source: RNAcentral
GAGUUUGAUCAUGGCUCAGAUCGAACGCUGGCGGCAGGCCUAACACAUGCAAGUCGAGCGCGAAAGUUCUUCGGAAUGAGUAAAGCGGCGAACGGGUGAGUAACGCGUGGGAAUCUGCCCAGUAGUGGGGGACAACGUUCCGAAGGAACGCUAAUACCGCAUACGCCCUACGGGGGAAAGGGGGGGAUCUUCGGACCUCUCGCUAUUGGAUGAGCCCGCGUCGGAUUAGCUAGUUGGAAGGGUAAAGGCCUACCAAGGCGACGAUCCGUAACUGGUCUGAGAGGAUGAUCAGUCACACUGGAACUGAGACACGGUCCAGACUCCUACGGGAGGCAGCAGUGGGGAAUAUUGGACAAUGGGGGCAACCCUGAUCCAGCCAUGCCGCGUGUGUGAAGAAGGCCUUCGGGUUGUAAAGCACUUUCAGUGGGGAGAAAGGUUCGAUACUUAAUACGUAUCGGGAUUGAUGUUACCCACAGAAGAAGCACCGGCUAACUCCGUGCCAGCAGCCGCGGUAAUACGGAGGGUGCAAGCGUUAAUCGGAAUUACUGGGCGUAAAGCGCACGUAGGCGGUUAGUUAAGCUAGCUGUGAAAUCCCCGGGCUCAACCUGGGAAUUGCAGUUAGAAC